AGCAGCCGCGGUAAUUCCAGCUCCAAUAGCGUAUAUUAAAGUUGUUGCAGUUAAAAAGCUCGUAGUUGAAUUUUGGGCCGGGCUGGGCGGUCUCGCUGAAAGGUGAGCACUGUUUGGUCUGGCCUCUCCUUCUGGUAAACCACCGUGCUCUUAACUGGGUGCGAUGGGGAACCAGGACUUUUACUUUGAAAAAAUUAGAGUGUUUAAAGCAGGCUAACGCUUGAAUACAUUAGCAUGGAAUAAUGAAAUAGGACGACGAUCCUAUUUUGUUGGUUUCUAGGACUGACGUAAUGAUUAAUAGGGAUAGUUGGGGGCAUUAGUAUUCAAUUGUCAGAGGUGAAAUUCUUGGAUUUAUUGAAGACUGACUACUGCGAAAGCAUUUGCCAAGGAUGUUUUCAUUAAUCAAGAACGAAAGUUAGGGGAUCGAAGACGAUCAGAUACCGUCGUAGUCUUAACCAUAAACUAUGCCGACUAGGGAUCGGAUGAUGUUAAUUUUAUAAUGACUCA
This 507-nucleotide ribosomal RNA is filed under the name Geosiphon pyriformis. RNAcentral's name for it is "bacterial SSU rRNA". It matches the Rfam family "Eukaryotic small subunit ribosomal RNA", at positions 569 to 1078 of the family's 1831-position model. Lineage: Eukaryota; Fungi; Glomeromycota; Glomeromycetes; Archaeosporales; Geosiphonaceae. The record is from RNAcentral.